Electrophorus electricus (electric eel) is the source of this 353-nucleotide non-coding RNA. The record is from RefSeq and is a predicted model, not a curated record. Lineage: Eukaryota; Metazoa; Chordata; Actinopteri; Gymnotiformes; Gymnotidae.
GAACGGUUACCGGGCAGCGAUGGUAGCGAGGGAAGGAGCGCCUCCGAGGUCCGAGCAGAUAUGUAUUUCCCAAUUGAACUGGGAGAAACGGAGGACUCGAGAUAAAUCAAGUCUGCUGGUUUAGCCAGCCAAUUUAUAUGCUCAGGUCUCACAGGAUACCCAAACAUAUAAGUGCACACUGCAGAAACAGGGAGCCAGAAAAGAGCAUUCAGGAGGCUGAAAUGGAUUUAUUUUUAUGAUGCCAAGAAAUAAAACUGCACUUACUAAUAGAGAUCAUCAAAAAAGUGACCCCACGAUUACCCCAAAACUUGUUUAUACCAAUAAACCCGUUCCAGUAAUGUCUAAAGUUCAAA